This 620-nucleotide ribosomal RNA is filed under the name Bacillus sp. HZBN134. RNAcentral's name for it is "bacterial SSU rRNA". It matches the Rfam family "Bacterial small subunit ribosomal RNA", at positions 374 to 985 of the family's 1533-position model. The record is from RNAcentral. Lineage: Bacteria; Bacillati; Bacillota; Bacilli; Caryophanales; Bacillaceae.
GACGAAAGUCUGACGGAGCAACGCCGCGUGAACGAUGAAGGCUUUCGGGUCGUAAAGUUCUGUUGUCAGGGAAGAACAAGUACCGGAGUAACUGCCGGUACCUUGACGGUACCUGACCAGAAAGCCACGGCUAACUACGUGCCAGCAGCCGCGGUAAUACGUAGGUGGCAAGCGUUGUCCGGAAUUAUUGGGCGUAAAGCGCGCGCAGGCGGUUCCUUAAGUCUGAUGUGAAAGCCCCCGGCUCAACCGGGGAGGGUCAUUGGAAACUGGGGAACUUGAGUGCAGAAGAGGAGAGCGGAAUUCCACGUGUAGCGGUGAAAUGCGUAGAGAUGUGGAGGAACACCAGUGGCGAAGGCGGCUCUCUGGUCUGUAACUGACGCUGAGGCGCGAAAGCGUGGGGAGCGAACAGGAUUAGAUACCCUGGUAGUCCACGCCGUAAACGAUGAGUGCUAAGUGUUAGAGGGUUUCCGCCCUUUAGUGCUGCAGCAAACGCAUUAAGCACUCCGCCUGGGGAGUACGGCCGCAAGGCUGAAACUCAAAGGAAUUGACGGGGGCCCGCACAAGCGGUGGAGCAUGUGGUUUAAUUCGAAGCAACGCGAAGAACCUUACCAGGUCUUGAC